GAUGAACGCUGGCGGCGUGCUUAACACAUGCAAGUCGAACGGAAAGGCUCCUGCUUGCAGGGGUACUCGAGUGGCGAACGGGUGAGUAACACGUGGGUGAUCUGCCCUGCACUUCGGGAUAAGCCUGGGAAACUGGGUCUAAUACCGGAUAGGACGAUGGUUUGGAUGCCAUUGUGGAAAGUUUUUUCGGUGUGGGAUGAGCUCGCGGCCUAUCAGCUUGUUGGUGGGGUAAUGGCCUACCAAGGCGUCGACGGGUAGCCGGCCUGAGAGGGUGUACGGCCACAUUGGGACUGAGAUACGGCCCAGACGCCUACGGGAGGCAGCAGUGGGGAAUAUUGCACAAUGGGCGCAAGCCUGAUGCAGCGACGCCGCGUGGGGGAUGACGGCCUUCGGGUUGUAAACUCCUUUCGCUAGGGACGAAGCGCAAGUGACGGUACCUGGAGAAGAAGCACCGGCUAACUACGUG
This 466-nucleotide ribosomal RNA is filed under the name uncultured bacterium. RNAcentral's name for it is "partial 16S ribosomal RNA". It matches the Rfam family "Bacterial small subunit ribosomal RNA", at positions 28 to 507 of the family's 1533-position model. The record is from RNAcentral.